This is a long non-coding RNA of Ornithorhynchus anatinus (platypus), 432 nucleotides long. RefSeq lists it as uncharacterized. The record is from RefSeq and is a predicted model, not a curated record. Lineage: Eukaryota; Metazoa; Chordata; Mammalia; Monotremata; Ornithorhynchidae. The transcript is spliced from 2 exons.
AGCCAGCUGGGCCUCAUUCUUGUUCCUUGAGGCCAUCCUUCCUGUGGAAAUGAUGAUCUUGCUACCAGGCUGCAGAGGUGAUCUAAUGAUGAAAAGGAGUGAGAAGAUAUUUCUCCUUGGAGACCCUCAGAUUUCUCUGAUAACUUCCACAGAAAACAACAUACUGCACCCACCAUGUAUUUCUGGAGUUCAAAUGUCAUCGCUGUUAUGAAGCAUCUAUAAACUUGAAGAACAUUCUGGGUAUUGACAUGCAAAUGAAGAAAUCAAGCCUGCCACUUUGCUAUGGUAAUUCCUAUGGUACUGCUUCCCUAAAGCGCAUCUAUGAGCGAGUCAAGUGUCCACAACUAAGAUUUGAUUGCUAAGACUCCUGGAAUAUAAAGCACUAUGUAAAUGUGAAGUAGUAAAAAAUAAAGAACCUGCUGUUUGUCUUGC